Molecule: unclassified non-coding RNA, 86 nt
Filed under: Pseudomonas mediterranea
Lineage: Bacteria; Pseudomonadati; Pseudomonadota; Gammaproteobacteria; Pseudomonadales; Pseudomonadaceae
Source: RNAcentral
GUGGGAGCGAGGCUUGCCCGCGAUGCAGGCGCCUCGGUCUACGGUGAUACCGAGGCGAUGCUAUCGCGGGCAAGCCUUGCUCCCAC